This 497-nucleotide ribosomal RNA is filed under the name uncultured bacterium. RNAcentral's name for it is "partial 16S ribosomal RNA". It matches the Rfam family "Bacterial small subunit ribosomal RNA", at positions 28 to 507 of the family's 1533-position model. The record is from RNAcentral.
GAUGAACGCUGGCGGCGUGCCUAAUACAUGCAAGUCGAGCGAACAGACGAGGAGCUUGCUCCUCUGACGUUAGCGGCGGACGGGUGAGUAACACGUGGAUAACCUACCUAUAAGACUGGGAUAACUUCGGGAAACCGGAGCUAAUACCGGAUAACAUGUUGAACCGCAUGGUUCAACAGUGAAAGACGGUCUUGCUGUCACUUAUAGAUGGAUCCGCGCCGCAUUAGCUAGUUGGUAAGGUAACGGCUUACCAAGGCAACGAUGCGUAGCCGACCUGAGAGGGUGAUCGGCCACACUGGAACUGAGACACGGUCCAGACUCCUACGGGGGGCAGCAGUAGGGAAUCUUCCGCAAUGGGCGAAAUCCUGACGGAGCAACGCCGCGUGAGUGAAGAAGGUCUUCGGAUCGUAAAACUCUGUUAUUAGGGAAGAACAAAUGUGUAAGUAACUAUGCACGUCUUGACGGUACCUAAUCAGAAAGCCACGGCUAACUACGUG